GAUGAACGCUGGCGGCGUGCCUAAUACAUGCGAGUCGAGCGAACGGACGAGAAGCUUGCUUCUCUGAUGUUAGCGGCGGACGGGUGAGUAACACGUAGAUAACCUACCUAUAAGACUGGGAUAACUUCGGGAAACCGGAGCUAAUACCGGAUAAUAUUUUGAACCGCAUGGUUCAAAAGUGAAAGACGGUCUUGCUGUCACUUAUAGAUGGAUCCGCGCUGCAUUAGCUAGUUGGUAAGGUAACGGCUUACCAAGGCAACGAUGCAUAGCCGACCUGAGAGGGUGAUCGGCCACACUGGAACUGGGACACGGUCCAGACUCCUACGGGAGGCAGCAGUAGGGAAUCUUCCGCAAUGGGCGAAAGCCUGACGGAGCAACGCCGCGUGAGUGAUGAAGGUCUUCGGAUCGUAAAACUCUGUUAUUAGGGAAGAACAUAUGUGUAAGUAACUGUGCACAUCUUGACGGUACCUAAUCAGAAAGCCACGGCUAACUACGUG
RNAcentral lists this ribosomal RNA (497 nucleotides) under uncultured bacterium. RNAcentral's name for it is "partial 16S ribosomal RNA". It matches the Rfam family "Bacterial small subunit ribosomal RNA", at positions 28 to 507 of the family's 1533-position model. The record is from RNAcentral.